CUUUCUUUGCUGGCGACCGGCGCACGGGUGAGUAACACGUAUCCAACCUGCCCUUACUCGGGGAUAGCCUUUCGAAAGAAAGAUUAAUACCCGAUAGCAUAAUGAUUCCGCAUGGUUUCAUUAUUAAAGGAUUCCGGUAAAGGAUGGGGAUGCGUUCCAUUAGGUUGUUGGUGAGGUAACGGCCCACCAAGCCUUCGAUGGAUAGGGGUUCUGAGAGGAAGGUCCCCCACAUUGGAACUGAGACACGGUCCAA
This 253-nucleotide ribosomal RNA is filed under the name uncultured bacterium. RNAcentral's name for it is "partial 16S ribosomal RNA". It matches the Rfam family "Bacterial small subunit ribosomal RNA", at positions 79 to 334 of the family's 1533-position model. The record is from RNAcentral.